AAAAUUUUUAUACCCUCCACCAUAGUAUGGAGGGUAUAUUAGUUUUGUUUUUCCGUUUGUAACGCAUCGAAAUAAUCAUUUCCGACCCUAUAAAGUAUAUAUAUUCUUGAUCAGCGUAAAAUUCUAUGACGAUUUAGCCAUGUCCGUCUGUCUGUCUCCAUGUCCGUCUGUCCGUCUGUCCGUCUGUCCGUCUGUCUGUCUGUCUGUCUGUCCGUCUGUCUGUUGUAAUC
Molecule: long non-coding RNA, 230 nt
Organism: Musca vetustissima
Lineage: Eukaryota; Metazoa; Arthropoda; Insecta; Diptera; Muscidae
Exons: 2
Source: RefSeq, a predicted model, not a curated record